Molecule: non-coding RNA, 29 nt
Filed under: Homo sapiens (human)
Lineage: Eukaryota; Metazoa; Chordata; Mammalia; Primates; Hominidae
Source: RNAcentral
UNUAAUCCCAGCACUUUGGGAGCCAAGGC